This 74-nucleotide transfer RNA is filed under the name bacterium. RNAcentral's name for it is "tRNA-Arg". It matches the Rfam family "tRNA". From Rfam's summary of the family: Transfer RNA (tRNA) molecules are approximately 80 nucleotides in length. Their secondary structure includes four short double-helical elements and three loops (D, anti-codon, and T loops). RNAcentral also lists the same sequence under 3 other names. The record is from RNAcentral.
GCGCCCAUAGCCCAAUUGGAUAGAGCGUCUGGCUACGGACCAGAAGGUUGGGGGUUCGAGUCCUCCUGGGCGUA